Molecule: non-coding RNA, 74 nt
Organism: Lolium rigidum
Lineage: Eukaryota; Viridiplantae; Streptophyta; Magnoliopsida; Poales; Poaceae
Source: the annotation of a RefSeq genome assembly
GGUGUCGUGGUGUAGUGGUCUAGCACAUCUGUCUUACACACAGAAGAUCUCCGGUUCAAACCCGGACGAUACCA